CUACGGGACGCAGCAGUGGGGAAUUUUGGACAAUGGGCGAAAGCCUGAUCCAGCCAUUCCGCGUGAGUGAUGAAGGCCUUCGGGUUGUAAAGCUCUUUCAGCCGGGAAGAAAUCGUGCAGGCUAAUAUCCUGCAUGGAUGACGGUACCGGACCAAGAAGCACCGGCUAACUACGUGCCAGCAGCCGCGGUAAUACGUAGGGUGCGAGCGUUAAUCGGAAUUACUGGGCGUAAAGCGUGCGCAGGCGGAUGUUUAAGCCAGAUGUGAAAUCCCCGGGAUUAACCUGGGAAUGGCAUUUGGAACUGGACAUCUAGAGUGUGUCAGAGGGGGGUGGAAUUCCACGUGUAGCAGUGAAAUGCGUAGAGAUGUGGAGGAACACCGAUGGCGAAGGCAGCCCCCUGGGAUAACACUGACACUCAUGCACGAAAGCGUGGGGAGCAAACAGGAUUAGAUACCCGAGUAGUC
This 464-nucleotide ribosomal RNA is filed under the name uncultured bacterium. RNAcentral describes it as "partial 16S ribosomal RNA". It matches the Rfam family "Bacterial small subunit ribosomal RNA", at positions 339 to 795 of the family's 1533-position model. The record is from RNAcentral.